Oncorhynchus tshawytscha (Chinook salmon) is the source of this 489-nucleotide long non-coding RNA. The record is from Ensembl. NCBI's taxonomy places the organism in Eukaryota, Metazoa, Chordata, Actinopteri, Salmoniformes, Salmonidae.
GCGAUUUCUCCUACACAAAUAAUAUUUUUGGAAAAAAUGAACAUUUGCGAUCUAACUGAGUCUCCUCAUUGAAAACAUCCGAAGUUCUUCAAAGGAUGAACAAACGUGACGUUUUUCGCCUACCAAAAUAUUAUUUUUGGAAAAAAGGAACAUUUGCUAUCUAACUGGGAGUCUCCUGAGUGAAAGCAUCUGAAGUUCUUCAAAGUGUACCUGCAGAAUACAGCUGGUGAUGUCGGAGGCUAUCUUGGCAUGGGGUGUGUCUUCGUCUUUGCCCUGGGGGGUGAGGUUGUGUUCCAGACAGGACUCCCACAGACUCACUAACGCCCCCCCAUGGCGCUCGAUGGACCUCGUCUCCCUGAUCGCCGUGGUGAUGCGCGUGAUGCAGAUCUCCACCACCGCCUGGUCAUUGUCAUUGGUCAGGUAGUCCUGCAGCCAGCCAAUCAGAGGGGAAAUGGGUCCAGAAGAGGCCAAUCAGGAUCAAGAAACAAU